UUUAUGGAGAGUUUGAUCCUGGCUCAGGAUGAACGCUGGCGGCGUGCCUAAUACAUGCAAGUCGAGCGAACAGAUAAGGAGCUUGCUCCUUUGACGUUAGCGGCGGACGGGUGAGUAACACGUGGGUAACCUACCUAUAAGACUGGAAUAACUCCGGGAAACCGGGGCUAAUGCCGGAUAACAUGUUGAACCGCAUGGUUCUACAGUGAAAGACGGUCUUGCUGUCACUUAUAGAUGGA
RNAcentral lists this ribosomal RNA (239 nucleotides) under Staphylococcus pseudintermedius. RNAcentral's name for it is "partial 16S ribosomal RNA". It matches the Rfam family "Bacterial small subunit ribosomal RNA", at positions 1 to 229 of the family's 1533-position model. The record is from RNAcentral. Lineage: Bacteria; Bacillati; Bacillota; Bacilli; Caryophanales; Staphylococcaceae.